CCCGAAAUUAGGUGAGAUAUUAUUAUAUGUUAGUUAAUGUUUCAUAAUUAUUGAUAAUAUAAUGAUAGUAAUGAGAAGUUAUUCGUUCUUAAAUAUCUGGUUUCCCGGGAUUUGAAUUCAAUUCAGAGUUAUUGACUUGUAUUUUUCUAUUUUAAUUGUUUGAUGUUUAAUAACUUAAAGUUUUCGAGGAUAAGCUCGGGAUCUUUUUUAUAAUUUGGAUUUAUAUAUUAGUUAUUGUAGGCUUGGAAUCAGCCAUCAUAAAUUUCGUUAUAGAUUAUUCUUAAUAUUUUUUUAUUUUGUUUAAAUUUAAUUUUGUACUGGGGCUGUUUAUUUAAUCAAGAAUUGCUUGUGAUAAUGAUUGUAUUAGUAUAUUUGUCAGUUGAGGAAUAGGAAUUCGGCAAAUAUCGUGUUCGCCUGUUUAACAAAAACAUGUCCUUUUGGGUUAUUUAUUUAAGGUUUAGCCUGCCCAAUGAGUUGUUUAAUGGCCGCGGUAUAUUAACCGUGCUAAGGUAGCAUAAUCAUUUGUCUUUUAAUUAAGGGCUUGUAUGAAUGGCUGGACGAGGCACGUGCUUUCUUUUUUUCAGUUUUAGAAUUUAUCUUUUUAGUUAAAAGACUAAAAUUUUUCUGCGGGACGAGAAGACCCUAUAGAUCUUAAUAUUAUAGGGUUUUAUAUUUUUUGGUUUAUUUUUGUUUUAUUAUCUUGUUUUAUUUAAUUGGGGCGAUUGCAGAGAAUCAAAAACUUCUGUUUAUUUAAUUCAUAAAUUAGUGUUUUUAUGGUCCAUUAUUAAUGAUGUAAGAUUAAGUUACCUUAGGGAUAACAGCGUAAUUUUUUCGGAGAGUUCAUAUCGAUGAAGGAGUUUGCGACCUCGAUGUUGGAUUAAAAUUAGUGUUAGGUGUAGCAAUUUAAUAACUGGGUCUGUUCGACCUUUAAUUUUUUACAUGAUCUGAGUUCAGACCGGCGUGAGCCAGGUCAGUUUCUAUCUUCAGUUUAUUUUCAUAUUUUAGUACGAAAGGACCAAAUA
RNAcentral lists this ribosomal RNA (1022 nucleotides) under Ectomocoris horridus. RNAcentral's name for it is "16S ribosomal RNA". The stretch from base 344 to 1022 matches the Rfam family "Archaeal large subunit ribosomal RNA", at positions 1423 to 2768 of the family's 2987-position model. The record is from RNAcentral. Lineage: Eukaryota; Metazoa; Arthropoda; Insecta; Hemiptera; Reduviidae.